This 64-nucleotide transfer RNA is filed under the name Thamnomys kempi (Kemp's thicket rat). RNAcentral's name for it is "tRNA-Lys". Lineage: Eukaryota; Metazoa; Chordata; Mammalia; Rodentia; Muridae. The record is from RNAcentral.
CAUCAUGAAGCUUAAAGCGUUAACCUUUUAAGUUAAAAUUAGGGACCCUAAAUCCCCAUGAUGA